GGCUCAGAUUGAACGCUGGCGGCAUGCCUUACACAUGCAAGUCGAACGGCAGCACGGGAGCAAUCCUGGUGGCGAGUGGCGAACGGGUGAGUAAUAUAUCGGAACGUGCCCAGUCGUGGGGGAUAACGUAGCGAAAGCUACGCUAAUACCGCAUACGAUCUAUGGAUGAAAGCGGGGGAUCGCAGGACCUCGCGCGAUUGGAGCGGCCGAUAUCAGAUUAGGUAGUUGGUGGGGUAAAAGCUUACCAAGCCUGCGAUCUGUAGCUGGUCUGAGAGGACGACCAGCCACACUGGAACUGAGACACGGUCCAGACUCCUACGGGAGGCAGCAGUGGGGAAUUUUGGACAAUGGGCGCAAGCCUGAUCCAGCAAUGCCGCGUGCAGGAUGAAGGCCUUCGGGUUGUAAACUGCUUUUGUACGGAACGAAACCGGCCCUUUCUAAUACAGGGGGUUAAUGACGGUACCGUAAGAAUAAGCACCGGCUAACUACGUG
Molecule: ribosomal RNA, 492 nt
Filed under: uncultured bacterium
Lineage: Bacteria
Description: bacterial SSU rRNA
Rfam family: Bacterial small subunit ribosomal RNA
Source: RNAcentral